CUGCGUGCUGCUGUGGUGGUGUCCCAUCCCGUGGAGCGCGCGGCGCAGCCCUACGUUACCCAUCAGCCUCCGCCCCGCGCGCUGUCUGCUGCUCUACUGCGGACAACAAUGACGGACAACAUUCAGCUGCAGCCUGUCCGACACAAAAAACGACAUGACAGUAAACGAAGAGACGGCUGCUGCCCGUGGUCCAGAUGCUGCGGAGGGGGAGACUUCCGUCCUCGGACCGUGUGGUUGGGCCAUCCGGAAAAGAGAGAGCAGAGAUACCCAAGAAAUGUCAUUAACAACCAGAAAUACAAUUUCUUCACCUUCCUGCCAGGGGUGUUGUUUAACCAGUUCAAAUACUUCUUCAACCUGUACUUUCUGCUGCUGGCCUGCUCACAGUUUGUGAAUGAGCUCAGAUUAGGAGCUCUGUAUACGUACUGGGUUCCUCUGGGGUUUGUUUUGAUUAUUACGAUCGUGAGGGAAGCUGUCGAGGAGAUGCGAUGUUUCCUACGGGACAAAGAGGUCAAUUCACAGAUCUACAGUAAACUCUCCACAAGAGGAACUGUGAAGGUGAAAAGUAGUGGCAUCCAGGUUGGAGAUCUUAUCAUUGUUGAAAAGAAUCAGCGUGUUCCUGCUGACAUGAUCUUCCUGAGGACCUCUGAAAGAAAUGGCUCCUGUUUUCUGAGGACUGAUCAGUUGGAUGGAGAAACUGAUUGGAAACUGCGCCUCCCUGUGGCCUGUACACAGAGACUUCCUACCGCUGCUGAUCUACUGCAGAUCAGAUCAUUUGUUUAUGCUGAAGAACCGAACAUUGACAUCCAUAACUUCAUCGGUACCUUCACUAGAGAAGAUGGAGACCCUCCAGUUAAUGAAAGUCUGAGCAUUGAGAACACUCUGUGGGCGAGCACUGUCAUUGCUUCUGGCACAGUGGUUGGGGUGGUGAUUUACACCGGUAAAGAGCUGCGCAGUGUAAUGAACACCUCCAACCCAAGACACAAGAUCGGCCUGUUUGACCUGGAAGUGAACUGUCUGACUAAGAUCCUGUUUGGAGCUCUGGUGGUGGUGUCUCUGGUCAUGGUGGCUCUGCAGCACUUCGCUGGACGCUGGUAUCUCCAGAUCUUCCGCUUCCUUCUGCUCUUCUCCAACAUCGUCCCCAUCAGUUUGCGUGUGAAUUUGGACAUGGGAAAAAUGGUGUUCAGUUGGAUGAUCAAGAAAGACUCUAAAAUCCCCGGGACCGUAGUCCGAGCCAGUACCUUCCCAGAACAGCUGGGCCGGAUCUCUUAUCUGCUCACAGACAAAACUGGGACUCUCACUCAGAAUGAGAUGGUGUUCAGACGACUCCAUCUUGGAACCGUGGCGUACGGGAUGGACUCCAUGGAUGAAGUGCAGAGUCAUGUGUUCAGCGCUUACACUCAGCCUCCUCAAGACCUGCAGGCCUCUCGUGGACCAGGCGCUCCCAAAGUGAGGAAGACCAUCAGCAGUCGAGUGCACGAGGCAGUGAAGGCCAUCGCGCUGGUGCACAACGUGACCCCAGUGUACGAGUCCAACGGUGUGACGGAUCAGGCAGAGGCUGAGAUGCACUAUGAAGACACAUGCAGGGUUUACCAAGCCUCCAGUCCAGAUGAGGUGUCUCUGGUUCAGUGGACGGAGAGUGUCGGUCUGACGCUGGUCGGUAGAGAUCAGUCUUCAAUGCAGCUGAGGACACCUAGUGGACAAAUACUGAACUUCACCAUCCUGCAGAUUUUCCCCUUUACCUACGAGAGCAAGCGCAUGGGCAUCAUAGUGCGAGAUGAAUCCACAGGAGAGAUCACGUUUUACAUGAAGGGUGCUGAUGUGAUGAUGGCCGGUAUCGUUCAGUACAACGACUGGCUGGAGGAGGAGUGUGGGAAUAUGGCUAGGGAAGGCUUGAGGGUGCUAGUGGUGGCCAAAAAGUCCCUAACAGAAGAACAAUACCAAGAUUUUGAGGCUCGCUACGUCCAGGCCAAGUUGAGCGUUCACGAUCGUUCGCUGAAGGUCGCCACAGUGAUCGAGAGUCUGGAGAUGGAGAUGGAGCUCUUGUGUCUUACUGGAGUCGAGGACCAGCUACAGGCCGAUGUCAGACCCACUCUGGAGAUACUGCGCAACGCUGGCAUCAAAGUUUGGAUGCUGACGGGGGACAAAUUAGAGACUGCAACCUGCACAGCCAAAAACGCCCAUCUAGUGACCCGCAAUCAGGACAUCCACGUGUUCAGGCCUGUAACCACUCGAAGCGAAGCCCACCUUGAGCUCAACGCCUUCAGAAGGAAACACGACUGCGCGCUGGUGAUAUCAGGAGACUCUCUGGAGGUUUGUCUGAAGUAUUAUGAGUAUGAGUUUAUGGAGUUGGCAUGUCAGUCUCCGGCUGUUGUCUGCUGCCGCUGCGCUCCCACACAGAAAGCCCAGAUCGUUCGACUGCUGCAGGAACGCACCGGCAAACUCACCUGCGCCGUGGGGGAUGGAGGAAAUGAUGUCAGCAUGAUCCAGGAAGCAGACUGCGGCGUGGGAGUAGAGGGCAAAGAAGGGAAGCAGGCGUCUCUGGCUGCAGAUUUCUCCAUCACUCAGUUUAAGCACUUGGGCAGACUUCUCAUGGUCCACGGCAGAAACAGCUACAAGCGCUCCGCCGCACUCAGCCAGUUUGUCAUCCACCGGAGUCUCUGCAUCAGCACCAUGCAGGCCGUGUUCUCCUCUGUCUUCUACUUUGCAUCUGUUCCACUUUAUCAAGGCUUCCUCAUUAUCGGAUACUCCACUAUCUACACCAUGUUCCCAGUUUUCUCUCUGGUUUUGGAUAAAGAUGUCAAGUCUGAGGUGGCCAUGUUAUAUCCUGAACUUUACAAAGAUCUUCUAAAGGGACGGCCUCUCUCGUUCAAAACCUUCUUAAUAUGGGUCUUGAUCAGUAUCUACCAAGGUAGCAUCAUCAUGUACGGGGCUCUGCUGCUGUUCGAGUCAGAGUUUGUGCACAUCGUGGCGAUUUCGUUCACGUCUCUGAUCCUGACGGAGCUGCUGAUGGUGGCGCUGACCGUGCAGACGUGGCACUGGCUGAUGAUCGUAGCUGAACUCCUCAGUCUGGCCUGCUACAUCGCAUCCCUCGUCUUCUUACACGAGUUCAUCGAUGUGUAUUUCAUCGCCACCCUGUCGUUUGUGUGGAAGGUGACGGCCAUCACUCUGGUCAGCUGUCUGCCGCUCUACAUCCUCAAAUACCUGCGCCGGCGCUUCUCGCCUCCCAGCUACUCCAAACUGACCUCCUGAGCCCUUCACUGCCUCCUCGAUCCGCUCAAACAAGCCUAGCACUGCUGGAACGUCAGGUUUUUUGAAUAAAUGGAUGCUACAGUGCCAUAAAAAACCAGAGCUAUUUCCACAUCCCGCGUCUGUGUUUGUCCACUCAUGCGGUGACCUCUGACGCUCUGAACUCCGUCUGACCAUUACGAGCCGUACAUACACCUACACUUCUUCAGACUGCUCUCAAUCACCGGUUUACAGGGCCAAACCCCAUGAGUCCGCACCAAACCUUCUAAUCUUCUCCUCGAGGUGUCCUUAAAAGCCGCCGUUUGUCUCUGUAAAUGAUGCUGAAUGUGACGUGCACUUCAAAUUGUGUCUGUGUUUUCUGUAACCGUGCCAUACUCUCUUUCACCUUCAGACAUGUUAUUCUGUCCAACUGACACUUCUCUUGCAUGGAUCAGAGUUUGUACUGAUUGUGAUGUGGACCUGAUCUUCACCUGACUACCUUCUUGUGUUUUUUAUGUUUAUAUGAAAGUUUUUUUUUUUUUGUUUUUUUUUGGUUGGUAAUGUAAUCUGCAGAAUUGUAAAUAAUAACAAAAAAAAUUCUCUUAUUUAUUGAUUUUUCUUAUUUGUGUUGGAAUUUGCACUCUAAUACUUGCAGAACAAAAAAGGGACGAGUGAGUCUCAGGAUAAGAGGUGUUUAAAAUAAAAAUCUUUUCUUAACCA
Cyprinus carpio (common carp) is the source of this 3945-nucleotide RNA transcript. It is a transcript of the gene named probable phospholipid-transporting ATPase IIA, with no coding region annotated. Lineage: Eukaryota; Metazoa; Chordata; Actinopteri; Cypriniformes; Cyprinidae. The transcript is spliced from 29 exons. The record is from RefSeq and is a predicted model, not a curated record.